This 449-nucleotide ribosomal RNA is filed under the name uncultured bacterium. RNAcentral describes it as "partial 16S ribosomal RNA". It matches the Rfam family "Bacterial small subunit ribosomal RNA", at positions 29 to 523 of the family's 1533-position model. The record is from RNAcentral.
AGCGAACGCUGGCGGCAGGCCUAACACAUGCAAGUCGAACGAACUCUUCGGAGUUAGUGGCGGACGGGUGAGUAACACGUGGGAACGUGCCUUUAGGUUCGGAAUAACUCAGGGAAACUUGUGCUAAUACCGAAUGUGCCCUUCGGGGAAAAGAUUUAUCGCCUUUAGAGCGGCCCGCGUCUGAUUAGCUAGUUGGUGAGGUAAAGGCUCACCAAGGCGACGAUCAGUAGCUGGUCUGAGAGGAUGAUCAGCCACAUUGGGACUGAGACACGGCCCAAACUCCUACGGGAGGCAGCAGUGGGGAAUCUUGCGCAAUGGGCGAAAGCCUGACGCAGCCAUGCCGCGUGAAUGAUGAAGGUCUUAGGAUUGUAAAAUCCUUUCACCGGGGACGAUAGUGACGGUACCCGGAGAAGAAGCCCCGGCUAACUUCGUGCCAGCCGCCGCGGUAA